Eurytemora carolleeae is the source of this 385-nucleotide long non-coding RNA. RefSeq lists it as uncharacterized. The transcript is spliced from 2 exons. The record is from RefSeq and is a predicted model, not a curated record. Lineage: Eukaryota; Metazoa; Arthropoda; Copepoda; Calanoida; Temoridae.
CAACAUGGCGCCUAGACUCUCUAGACUCUAGCUAGAGCAAGAGCCUCAGUCGGUUACAACACGUCGAGAGAGCAGCUACUGUAUUGUAGGGCUAGUCUCCUCGUUAAUAUAAAUAAAAACUUAUUGAACUUGAUUUAUGCCGGAAAACUAAUGUAGAUAAACACUAAAAGAGAGAAACUAUUAGACGACUAGAUUGAAAAUACUAUUUUUUUUUAAAAUGACAAGUGAUAUUUUCGUUGUAAAACGCCUAAACACGUGAAAAAUUCUAAAUUGUUUCUGAACCUGCGAACCUUGCUCCUGAACCUUAAAGACACAGGAUAAAUAAAUGGAUUAUUAAGACACUUGCCUGCCCUGUAGUUGGUAAAAGAAACUGUAAUUAGUAAGG